Molecule: ribosomal RNA, 396 nt
Filed under: uncultured Stichotrichia
Lineage: Eukaryota; Ciliophora; Spirotrichea
Description: partial Eukaryotic large subunit ribosomal RNA
Rfam family: Eukaryotic large subunit ribosomal RNA
Source: RNAcentral
UUUAAGCAUAUUAUUAAGCGGAGGAAAAGAAACUAACAAGGAUCCCCUCAGUAAGGGCGACUGAAGCGGGAGUAGCUCAAGAUGUGAAUCUGCGCCGUUCUGCGGCGCCGAAUUGUGGUCUAUAGGCGUGUGCGUUACCUGGCCGGGCCAAGUCCCUUGGAACAGGGCGGCUGAGAGGGUGAGACCCCCGUUCGCCUGGCCUUUGGAGCGCGCGUCGACGAGUCGAGUUGUUUGGGAUUGCAGCUCAAAGUGGGUGGUAAAUUCCAUCUAAAGCUAAAUACUGGUGGGAGACCGAUAGCGUACAAGUACCGUGAGGGAAAGAUGCAACAGAACUUUGAAAAGAGAGUUAAAGAGUACCUGAAAUUGCUGAAAAGGAAGCGAAGGAAACCAGUGUUA